GAUCUGCCUUCAGGAUGGGGACAACAGCGGGAAACGGCUGCUAAUACCCAAUAGGCUGAAAAGUGAAAGAUUUAUCGCCUGAAGAGGAGCUCGCGUCUGAUUAGCUAGUUGGUAGGGUAAAAGCCUACCAAGGCGACGAUCAGUAGCUGGUCUGAGAGGAUGAGCAGCCACACUGGGACUGAGACACGGCCCAGACUCCUACGGGAGGCAGCAGUGGGGAAUUUUCCGCAAUGGGCGAAAGCCUGACGGAGCAACGCCGCGUGAGGGAGGAAGGCCCUUGGGUUGUAAACCUCUUUUCUGGGGGAAGAAGUAAUGACGGUACCCCAGGAAUAAGCAUCGGCUAACUCCGUGCCAGCAGCCGCGGUAAUACGGAGGAUGCAAGCGUUAUCCGGAAUCAUUGGGCGUAAAGCGUCCGCAGGUGGCUAUUCAAGUCUGCUGUCAAAGCAUGGAGCUUAACUCCAUAGAGGCAGUGGAAACUGAAAGGCUAGAGGCCGGUAGGGGUAGUGGGAAUUCCCAGUGUAGCGGUGAAAUGCGUAGAGAUUGGGAAGAACAUCGGUGGCGAAAGCGCACUACUGGGCAGGACCUGACACUGAGGGACGAAAGCUA
This 606-nucleotide ribosomal RNA is filed under the name Gloeothece tepidariorum PCC 6909. RNAcentral's name for it is "bacterial SSU rRNA". It matches the Rfam family "Bacterial small subunit ribosomal RNA", at positions 123 to 762 of the family's 1533-position model. The record is from RNAcentral. Lineage: Bacteria; Bacillati; Cyanobacteriota; Cyanophyceae; Chroococcales; Aphanothecaceae.